GAAGAGACCAUAACAGAACUGCUAACUCUCACACCUGAGAUUAAAACCUCAGACUCUUC
RNAcentral lists this transfer RNA (59 nucleotides) under Phrynocephalus mystaceus (secret toadhead agama). RNAcentral describes it as "tRNA-Ser". The record is from RNAcentral. Lineage: Eukaryota; Metazoa; Chordata; Lepidosauria; Squamata; Agamidae.